GAUGAACGCUGGCGGCGUGCCUAAUACAUGCAAGUCGAGCGAACGGACGAGAAGCUUGCUUUUCUGAUGUUAGCGGCGGACGGGUGAGUAACACGUGGAUAACCUACCUAUAAGACUGGGAUAACUUCGGGAAACCGGAGCUAAUACCGGAUAAUAUUUUGAACCGCAUGGUUCAAAAGUGAAAGACGGUCUUGCUGUCACUUAUAGAUGGAUCCGCGCUGCAUUAGCUAGUUGGUAAGGUAACGGCUUACCAAGGCAACGAUGCAUAGCCGACCUGAGAGGGUGAUCGGCCACACUGGAACUGAGACACGGUCCAGACUCCUACGGGAGGCAGCAGUAGGGAAUCUUCCGCAAUGGGCGAAAGCCUGACGAAGCAACGCCGCGUGAGUGAUGAAGGUCUUCGGAUCGUAAAACUCUGUUAUUAGGGAAGAACAAAUGUGUAAGUAACUGUGCACAUCUUGACGGUACCUAAUCAGAAAGCCACGGCUAACUACGUG
Molecule: ribosomal RNA, 497 nt
Filed under: uncultured bacterium
Lineage: Bacteria
Description: partial 16S ribosomal RNA
Rfam family: Bacterial small subunit ribosomal RNA
Source: RNAcentral